Papaver somniferum (opium poppy) is the source of this 584-nucleotide long non-coding RNA. RefSeq lists it as uncharacterized. The transcript is spliced from 2 exons. The record is from RefSeq and is a predicted model, not a curated record. Lineage: Eukaryota; Viridiplantae; Streptophyta; Magnoliopsida; Ranunculales; Papaveraceae.
CACUAUAAAUAGCACAAUAUUUUACGAGAGCAGAACACAUCCAUCAAAACAGAAUAAUAUACGUAGAUACGGCCUAAUAAGAUAACCUUUGCAAGGAAAAAUGAGGUGUGUUUGAGAAGUGCAACAGAUUGAAGGAGGAUACUUAGACAUGGGGGUAACAUUCUAUAUGGAUAGCUUCCAUAUCAUUGAGAAAGUUGGUUGUGAUUCAUGCACUAUCAAAUCGACUACAAAAUAUGAAAUCAACGACGAUGAACUUGCGAAGAAAGUUUCUCCUCUUAUCAGUGUAGAUUCCCUUGUUAAUAUGGCUAGAGGCAUCUCCAAAUAUGUUCUUAAGAAUCAGAGCCAUAAACAUCAGCCUAAGAAAGAAGUGCAUGAACAUGGGCAUCCCAGUGCCGAUGAGGGCAAACAUGUACAUCCAGGGUCAGAAUGAAGUUGUUCCUAUCAGGUGAUGUAAACCUGCAGCUUGGGGAUAUUAUGGCGCCAAUAUAAAUCUUUCAUUAUUGCAAGGCUAUUUGCAGUUGUAUUAUGUAUGAAGUAAAAAUAAAUAAUAAAAUGAACGAGUGAAAGUUUGAUUCUCAUUAAAA